UACGGAGGGGGCUAGCGUUGUUCGGAAUUACUGGGCGUAAAGCGCGCGUAGGCGGACCUCCAAGUCGGGGGUGAAAGCCCGAGGCUCAACCUCGGAACUGCCUUCGAUACUGCGGGUCUCGAGUCCGGGAGAGGUGAGUGGAAUUCCUAGUGUAGAGGUGAAAUUCGUAGAUAUUAGGAAGAACACCAGUGGCGAAGGCGGCUCACUGGCCCGGUACUGACGCUGAGGCGCGAAAGCGUGGGGAGCAAACAGG
This 253-nucleotide ribosomal RNA is filed under the name uncultured bacterium. RNAcentral's name for it is "partial 16S ribosomal RNA". It matches the Rfam family "Bacterial small subunit ribosomal RNA", at positions 524 to 776 of the family's 1533-position model. The record is from RNAcentral.